GACGAACGCUGGCGGCGUGCUUAACACAUGCAAGUCGAACGGAAAGGCCCUGCUUUUGUGGGGUGCUCGAGUGGCGAACGGGUGAGUAACACGUGAGUAACCUGCCCUUGACUUCGGGAUAACUUCAGGAAACUGGGGCUAAUACCGGAUAGGAGCUCCUGCUGCAUGGUGGGGGUUGGAAAGUUUCGGCGGUUGGGGAUGGACUCGCGGCUUAUCAGCUUGUUGGUGGGGUAGUGGCUUACCAAGGCUUUGACGGGUAGCCGGCCUGAGAGGGUGACCGGCCACAGUGGGACUGAGAUACGGCCCAGACUCCUACGGGAGGCAGCAGUGGGAAUAUUGCACGAUGGGCGGAAGCCUGAUGCAGCAACGCCGCGUGCGGGAUGACGGCCUUCGAGUUGUAAACCGCUUUCGCCUGUGACGAAGCGUGAGUGACGGUAAUGGGUAAAGAAGCACCGGCUAACUACGUG
RNAcentral lists this ribosomal RNA (467 nucleotides) under uncultured bacterium. RNAcentral's name for it is "partial 16S ribosomal RNA". It matches the Rfam family "Bacterial small subunit ribosomal RNA", at positions 28 to 507 of the family's 1533-position model. The record is from RNAcentral.